UUUGGAUUUGGGGGGUUUUUGCUGGCCUCUUAAAAAGGUUCAGCUCCCCUGAAAUGCAUUAGCAGAACAAUCCUUGUUCAUUGGCGUGAUAACUAUCUAUGCUAUUGAAUGUGAGGUGCAGUUCAGCUUUCUAACAGUCCUUUGGACAAAUUCAUCAUUAAUGUGACCUCAAAUCAGGUAGGACUACCCGCUGAACUUAA
This 200-nucleotide unclassified non-coding RNA is filed under the name soil metagenome. Its description in RNAcentral is "partial contains internal transcribed spacer 2 and large subunit ribosomal RNA". The record is from RNAcentral.